CUUGGUGUCCCUUGUGUGUGGAGGAGAUGGGCCAAGCCAGGCUGAGCAGGGCAAAGUUCUUUGGCUGAGAAGAGGAGGAGGUGGCUUGACAAGAAGAAGCAUUUUCUGCCACCUCUUUGCAAGAGGCUGUGGUUUUAAGGAAAGCAAUUUCUUGCAGAAGCAGAACAAAGAGCUGAGACGUACUGGAUUAGAUGAUUUGGAUACACCAAAACAGAGGAAACCUGAGCAGGAAAAACUCUGGGGAAAGAGGUCUUUAAACAGCAAAACAAGCCCCCAAAAAAGAAGAAGAGAGGCGGGGGAUGGACAGAGAGGGAUGUGGACAACCAUACAGAAUAAGAAGACGCCACACGUGGAGGGAGGCGAAGCCACGGACUUCUAGAAGGAGAAGGGAGGAGACAGAUCAACAGCAUCCUUCUCCUUAUGGUGUCCACAGCAAAGAGCGAGCAGGUUCUUCCACAAAGCCUGUGGGACGUGCUGGGCUGCCGAGGCCAGGAGGAGACCCAUCCUCUCCCAACAGCUCUGGGCACACAUUUCUGAAGCUAACGAAGCUGACUGAGGUCUUGCUGACCCAGGGGAAACACAGACUCACGUCGUCGCAGCCCGAGGACCCGUACCAGUAUCGAACUGGAGUGAGCAAAAGUAGAACCAGGCCCGGUGGUUUCCAGGUAUGGAAACACAUAUGCCCCAGUCCUUACUUACAUCAGUUUAACGUUAACAAGGUGCCCCUGGCUUUGGCCAAGAAUAGUUCGUGACUUCCAGAAGCACAAGCAAGAGGCGAUGCCUAUGGCCUGCGUGUUCUUGGCACCAGCCUCCCCAUGCAGCCCAGGAGCAGAAACACGGGGAAUGCAGCUCCAGGCCCGGCACUGCCCCCAGGCCUCUCCUCCUCCUGCCCCGCUGCUGGGGGCUCCCCCCACCCCAAUGCUGCGCUGACAAGGCCUUGAGGGACAGCUCAGGAGCCCCUCGUGCUUCCACACAUGGCACCAUUUCCCCGCGAGCCUCGGCCUCGAGUGCCUGCCUGCACCCUGCCUCGCUGCCAGGUUAAAGAGCAAUCACCACGGACAGCGGGAGAGAAAUAUUUUACAGAUUUGUAAUUCAUUAAAGCGCUGGACAUGUUCCAAUGUGAGUCUACUGGAGGGUAGGAAAGGAGGGAGACAUGUUCAGACCGUGGUCUGAAGCACACCUGUACAGUUUGGGAGCGUUUCUCCUCAUUAAGACUGUGUUUUCUGGGAGUCUGGCCUGUGCCAAGCGACUCAAACACAUAAAUCCAUGGUAAUGCCCCUUCGCCUGCAUGAUUCAGGUUUGUGUCAUUUCAAGGUUUAACAGUAGAUUUUAAGAGGGUCAUUUCAACCAUGCCCUAUUAGGCAAAC
Molecule: long non-coding RNA, 1367 nt
Filed under: Cairina moschata (Muscovy duck)
Lineage: Eukaryota; Metazoa; Chordata; Aves; Anseriformes; Anatidae
Description: domestica (muscovy Duck (domestic type)) lncRNA (ENSCMMG00000013939.1)
Source: RNAcentral